CAGCAGCCGCGGUAAUACAGAGGGUGCAAGCGUUGUUCGGAAUUAUUGGGCGUAAAGCGCGUGUAGGCGGCUUUGCAAGUCGGGUGUGAAGGCCCUCAGCUCAACUGAGGAAGUGCGCCCGAAACUGCAGAGCUUGAGUGCCGGAGAGGGUGGCGGAAUUCCCCAAGUAGAGGUGAAAUUCGUAGAUAUGGGGAGGAACACCGGUGGCGAAGGCGGCCACCUGGACGGUAACUGACGCUGAGACGCGAAAGCGUGGGGAGCAAACAGGAUUAGAUACCCUGGUAGUCCACGCCGUAAACGAUGAGAACUAGGUGUCGUGGGUGUUGACCCCCGCGGUGCCGUAGCUAACGCAUUAAGUUCUCCGCCUGGGAAGUACGGUCGCAAGACUAAAACUCAAAGGAAUUGAC
Molecule: ribosomal RNA, 407 nt
Filed under: uncultured bacterium
Lineage: Bacteria
Description: bacterial SSU rRNA
Rfam family: Bacterial small subunit ribosomal RNA
Source: RNAcentral